GCCGGAGUGGCGGAAUUGGCAGACGCGCACGGUUCAGGGCCGUGUUGGCUUCGGCUAGUGUGGGUUCAAGUCCCACCUCCGGCA
RNAcentral lists this transfer RNA (84 nucleotides) under Acidobacteriota bacterium. RNAcentral describes it as "Acidobacteria bacterium tRNA-Leu". It matches the Rfam family "tRNA". From Rfam's summary of the family: Transfer RNA (tRNA) molecules are approximately 80 nucleotides in length. Their secondary structure includes four short double-helical elements and three loops (D, anti-codon, and T loops). The record is from RNAcentral. RNAcentral also lists the same sequence under 2 other names. Lineage: Bacteria; Pseudomonadati; Acidobacteriota.